GAUAUGCUUGUCUCAAAGAUUAAGCCAUGCAUGUCUCAGUGCAAGCCAAAUUAAGGUGAAACCGCGAAUGGCUCAUUAAAUCAGUUAUGGUUCCUUGGACUUAAAAAUUUACUUGGAUAACUGUGGUAAUUCUAGAGCUAAUACAUGCACUCAGUCCCGACCAGCGAUGGAAGGGACGCUUUUAUUAGAUCAAAACCAAUCGGKGGGUUUCCCGCCGUGUCUUUUGGUGACUCUGGAUAACUUUGGGCGGAUCGCACGGUCCUUGCACCGGCGACGUACCCUUCAAAUGUCUGCCUUAUCAACUUGCGAUGGUAGGCUCUGCGCCUACCAUGGUUGUAACGGGUGACGGGGAAUCAGGGUUCGAUUCCGGAGAGGGAGCCUGAGAAACGGCUACCACAUCCAAGGAAGGCAGCAGGCGCGCAAAUUACCCACUCCCGGCACGGGGAGGUAGUGACGAAAAAUAACGAUACGGGACUCAUCCGAGGCCCCGUAAUCGGAAUGAGAACACUUUAAAUCCUUUAUCGAGUACCUAUUAGAGGGCAAGUCUGG
This 549-nucleotide ribosomal RNA is filed under the name Thaumatogryllus variegatus. RNAcentral's name for it is "bacterial SSU rRNA". It matches the Rfam family "Eukaryotic small subunit ribosomal RNA", at positions 26 to 566 of the family's 1831-position model. Lineage: Eukaryota; Metazoa; Arthropoda; Insecta; Orthoptera; Gryllidae. The record is from RNAcentral.